This 378-nucleotide ribosomal RNA is filed under the name uncultured bacterium. RNAcentral describes it as "bacterial SSU rRNA". It matches the Rfam family "Bacterial small subunit ribosomal RNA", at positions 29 to 411 of the family's 1533-position model. The record is from RNAcentral.
AUUAAACGCUGGCGGCAUGCCUUACACAUGCAAGUCGAACGGUAGCGCGGGGCAACCUGGCGACGAGUGGCGAACGGGUGAGUAAAGCAUCGGAACGUGCCCUGGAAUGGGGGAUAACGUAGCGAAAGUUACGCUAAUACCGCAUAUUCUGUGAGCAGGAAAGCAGGGGAUCGCAAGACCUUGCGUUCUGGGAGCGGCCGAUGUCGGAUUAGCUAGUUGGUGGGGUAAAAGCCUACCAAGGCGACGAUCCGUAGCGGGUCUGAGAGGAUGAUCGCCACACUGGGACUGAGACACGGCCCAGACUCCUAUGGGAGGCAGCAGUGGGGAAUUUUGGACAAUGGGCGGAAGCCUGAUCCAGCCAUGCCGCGUGAGUGAGAA